UAACCUGCCCAAGAGAUCGGGAUAACACCUGGAAACAGAUGCUAAUACCGGAUAANAACAGAUGAUGCCUAUCAACUGUUUAAAAGAUGGUUCUGCUAUCAUCUUGGAUGGACCUGCGGUGCAUUAGCUAGUUGGUAGGGUAACGGCCUACCAAGGCGAUGAUGCAUAGCCGAGUUGAGAGACUGAUCGGCCACAUUGGGACUGAGACACGGCCCAAACUCCUACGGGAGGCAGCAGC
RNAcentral lists this ribosomal RNA (238 nucleotides) under uncultured Lactobacillus sp. RNAcentral describes it as "partial 16S ribosomal RNA". It matches the Rfam family "Bacterial small subunit ribosomal RNA", at positions 122 to 355 of the family's 1533-position model. The record is from RNAcentral. Lineage: Bacteria; Bacillati; Bacillota; Bacilli; Lactobacillales; Lactobacillaceae.